UCUACCCUCUUGUAUCAAUACACAACCGAUCUCAACUCUCGAAGCAUCAUAAUAUAGCGUGUCAGAACCUAAAGUUGGUGGCAAUACUAGUACCAGAGAUGUGGUUACAGCCGACCUGAGCUUUUGGAAGCUCUCCUUGCAUUCAUCCGACCACACAAAUGGAGCAUUCUUCUACGUCACCUUCGUCAAGGGCGAAACAAUAGAUGAAAA
This 210-nucleotide long non-coding RNA is filed under the name Nicotiana benthamiana. RNAcentral's name for it is "long non-coding RNA (NBEN_LNC019389)". Lineage: Eukaryota; Viridiplantae; Streptophyta; Magnoliopsida; Solanales; Solanaceae. The record is from RNAcentral.